ACUCCUACGGGAGGCAGCAGUGGGGAAUAUUGGACAAUGGGCGCAAGCCUGAUCCAGCCAUGCCGCGUGUGUGAAGAAGGCCUUCGGGUUGUAAAGCACUUUCAGCGAGGAGGAAGGUUAAGUGUUAAUAGCACUUAGCUGUGACGUUACUCGCAGAAGAAGCACCGGCUAACUCCGUGCCAGCAGCCGCGGUAAUACGGAGGGUGCGAGCGUUAAUCGGAAUUACGUGGGCGUAAAGCGCAUGCAGGCGGCCUGUUAAGUCAGAUGUGAAAGCCCGGGGCUUAACCUCGGAAUUGCAUUUGAAACUGGCAGGCUAGAGUCUUGUAGAGGGGGGUAGAA
RNAcentral lists this ribosomal RNA (339 nucleotides) under uncultured bacterium. RNAcentral's name for it is "bacterial SSU rRNA". It matches the Rfam family "Bacterial small subunit ribosomal RNA", at positions 335 to 666 of the family's 1533-position model. The record is from RNAcentral.